UACGAAGGGAGCUAGCGUUGUUCGGAAUUACUGGGCGUAAAGGGCGCGUAGGCGGCUUGGCAAGUUGGGUGUGAAAGCCCAGGGCUCAACCCUGGAAUAGCACUCAAGACUGCCUUGCUUGAAUUCGGUAGAGGUUGGUGGAAUUCCCAGUGUAGAGGUGAAAUUCGUAGAGAUUGGGAAGAACACCCGUGGCGAAGGCGGCCAACUGGACCGACAUAGACGCUGAGGCGCGAAAGCGUGGGGAUCAAACAGG
Molecule: ribosomal RNA, 253 nt
Filed under: uncultured bacterium
Lineage: Bacteria
Description: partial 16S ribosomal RNA
Rfam family: Bacterial small subunit ribosomal RNA
Source: RNAcentral